AUUGAACGCUGGCGGCAGGCCUAACACAUGCAAGUCGAGCGGAUGAAGGGAGCUUGCUCCUGGAUUCAGCGGCGGACGGGUGAGUAAUGCCUAGGAAUCUGCCUGGUAGUGGGGGAUAACGUCCGGAAACGGGCGCUAAUACCGCAUACGUCCUGAGGGAGAAAGUGGGGGAUCUUCGGACCUCACGCUAUCAGAUGAGCCUAGGUCGGAUUAGCUAGUUGGUGGGGUAAAGGCCUACCAAGGCGACGAUCCGUAACUGGUCUGAGAGGAUGAUCAGUCACACGGGAACUGAGACACGGACCAGACUCCUACGGGAGGCAGCAGUGGGGAAUAUUGGACAAUGGGCGAAAGCCUGAUCCAGCCAUGCCGCGUGUGUGAAGAAGGUCUUCGGAUUGUAAAGCACUUUAAGUUGGGAGGAAGGGCAGUAAGUUAAUACCUUGCUGUUUUGACGUUACCAACAGAAUAAGCACCGGCUAACUUCGUG
RNAcentral lists this ribosomal RNA (484 nucleotides) under uncultured bacterium. Its description in RNAcentral is "partial 16S ribosomal RNA". It matches the Rfam family "Bacterial small subunit ribosomal RNA", at positions 30 to 507 of the family's 1533-position model. The record is from RNAcentral.